GGGAAUAUUGGACAAUGGGCGAAAGCCUGAUCCAGCAACGCCGCGUGAGGGAUGACGGCCUUCGGGUUGUAAACCUCUUUCAGCAGGGACGAAGCGAAAGUGACGGUACCUGCAGAAGAAGGACCGGCCAACUACGUGCCAGCAGCCGCGGUAAUACGUAGGGUCCGAGCGUUGUCCGGAAUUAUUGGGCGUAAAGGGCUCGUAGGCGGUUUGUCGCGUCGGAAGUGAAAACUCAGGGCUCAACCCUGAGCGUGCUUACGAUACGGGCAAACUAGAGGUAUGCAGGGGAGAACGGAAUUCCUGGUGUAGCGGUGGAAUGCGCAGAUAUCAGGAGGAACACCGGUGGCGAAGGCGGUUCUCUGGGCAUUACCUGACGCUGAGGAGCGAAAGCAUGGGGAGCGAA
Molecule: ribosomal RNA, 403 nt
Filed under: uncultured bacterium
Lineage: Bacteria
Description: bacterial SSU rRNA
Rfam family: Bacterial small subunit ribosomal RNA
Source: RNAcentral